This 472-nucleotide ribosomal RNA is filed under the name Triticum aestivum (bread wheat). Its description in RNAcentral is "partial small subunit ribosomal RNA". The record is from RNAcentral. Lineage: Eukaryota; Viridiplantae; Streptophyta; Magnoliopsida; Poales; Poaceae.
CUCGCCGAAUGGGUACACGUUCAUUGCAAGUGUACCUUGGAAAGAGGAGAAGCCGGAAGUUUCAAGAGUAAACUUAUAAACGAUGAUGGUGGUUCUAGACGUGGCUGCCGGCGAGGCGGGCCCGAGCGCGGGGCCCAAAACGUCGCCGGCGGCACGGGAGGAUGAGUAGCCCCGUACCGUGAGCGGGUCUACCGACCCACACCCAGCGCGCGAAGUCGCGGUAGGUAAAAUCCCCGAUCAACUAAGCCGUCCACUCAACAAUGUGUGAGGAAUCGCCUAAAGCUGAAGGUACUGGUGGCAGGACGACAGAAUUAGCUGGUUGUGGGAAACACCCAACAUCCAAUCGCGCAUCAACCCGUGGCAUUGGGCCGAAGGCCAAGUAGGGCGUAGCGAUCAAGACGAAUGGUUUUUACCGGGUGAACCUCGUGGGCUAAGGCACCGUGCCGAGUGGCUUCGUCAGCGCGGUAGGAUG